GACGAACGCUGGCGGCGUGCUUAACACAUGCAAGUCGAACGAAGAGCGAUGGAAGCUUGCUUCUAUCAAUCUUAGUGGCGAACGGGUGAGUAACGCGUAAUCAACCUGCCCUUCAGAGGGGGACAACAGUUGGAAACGACUGCUAAUACCGCAUACGAUCUAAUCUCGGCAUCGAGGAUAGAUGAAGGGUGGCCUCUACAUGUAAGCUAUCACUGAAGGAGGGGAUUGCGUCUGAUUAGCUAGUUGGAGGGGUAACGGCCCACCAAGGCGAUGAUCAGUAGCCGGUCGGAGAGGAUGAACGGCCACAUUGGGACUGAGACACGGCCCAGACUCCUACGGGAGGCAGCAGUGGGGAAUCUUCCGCAAUAGACGAAAGUCUGACGGAGCAACGCCGCGUGAGCGAUGACGGCCUUCGGGUUGUAAAGCUCGGUUAAUCGGGACGAAAGGCCUUCUUGCGAAUAGGGAGAAGGAUUGACGGUACCGGAAUAGAAAGCCACGGCUAACUACGUG
Molecule: ribosomal RNA, 510 nt
Filed under: uncultured bacterium
Lineage: Bacteria
Description: partial 16S ribosomal RNA
Rfam family: Bacterial small subunit ribosomal RNA
Source: RNAcentral